CUUGCUUUUGGGUUUGUUUUAUUUAUGUUUCUUUAUUUUUUGAGUUUAGACUAGGCUGUUUACGAGGUCUAGAGCAUUUUUUUAGUUUUUAGGCUUUGGCUUAUAAUUAGGGUGGUUAAUGCUCUAAGAUAGUUGCCCCUACAUAAGGUGGCCCCGGAUGUGGUCAAAUAAUGCAUGCUAGGUUACGGACUUGUCCCUUCCUCCUUAUGUGUCUUGGUAGUCGGUUACUUGGUUUUUUGUCACCAAGGCAUGUUUUUGUGUCGACCUCACAUAUGGUUUAUGGUAUUAAAAUAGUUUAGGGUGGCUUAGGUUCUUAGGUCUUAAGUUUCUGAGUUGUUUUGCAUGGUUCAAUUCUUACGUGCCCUAGAGGGUAGAUCGUGUUUAUGUUGUACUCCUACUUUCAGUUAUCAAUAUAUGACUAAUUAACGUCCUUAUUUAAAAAACAGAGUUUUAUCUACAUUUACGUGUGCACUAAAAUCUAGAGUUAUUCAAAUAAUGUCAAUAAUUCUAACAACAAUGCACGUCACACAAAAAGUUACGUACUCAACUUUUUAAUUUUUUUAAAUAUACAUUAUUGUAUUAAUAACGUAUGAGUGAAUGGCAAAAAAGUAUCAUUGCAUUGUAAAUUUCCGCUCACUUAUUAAACAUAUACUAGAGUUAAGAACAUAGAACUAAUGUAGAUACUAGAGUUAAUUAACAUAUACUAUCACUUGAGUGCUCAAUUACGGUGCUUCAAGCACAUACUAACCAUCUCUCUGAUCCAAGAUCUUAUCUGUAGGUUAAGAGCACACAACUUAAGCUACUUCUAGUUUGGAUUUAAGCCCAACUACCUGAUUCCAAAGAUGAACUUGUCUGAGUCUGGACCCAGGCCAAGAGCCCAAGCUCAUUCUAAACCCUAACAGAUCUGUGUCGCUGCUUCCUUCCACAGUCCUUGUCGGCGGCCAAACUAGAUCAGCGCCCAACGUCCUUGAUCAGUCCAUCUCUGCUAGCUUUGCCAUCGAACUUGAGCCACCAGGUGCACGAUGAGCUCUUGCUUCGGUGGAAACCAGAUUCAUGGUUAUUUCCUCCCACAAAUCUGGCGACCCUAGAAUCCUUCUGCUACCUGCAUCGUCAACUCUAAUCAUGAUCGGAAUUUGCACCUUCGCUGUCAAACCUGACUUGAUCACCUUCGGCCAUGCUUGGCUGACAUCAAACUUAAAUUCAGGAAUACCCGACUAAGAAAUAAGUCUUGUGAAAUUUUGUUUCAAAUAGAGAGGAAGAAACAAAUCCCUGUGAAUAUGCAGCCAUGAUUGAAUGAUUAAACUAUCAGCAGAGGACUGUAUCAUCAAAUUAUGGUAUGAACCAAUGAUGGUAUUGGCUCCUGGAUCUAUUUAAAAAGGUAUGAGAAUUGGAAUUUGGUGCAAAGGAAUAAGAGAUGGAGGGUGAAGCCCUCAUGGGGUUGAGUGGUCGAACUCACUAAGGUUGUCGCCGUCAUAGAGAGGUUGCGCUAGGAGCAACGCACAGAGACAUGCUAAUUAAUAGAGAGAGACUAGGGUUUUUCAUUGCUAUUAUGUAUCAUUUAAAUAAUUUUUUCGUUUUAUAUGUAGGCACAAAACUAAUCUUUUCCCCAAUCUCAUGUGAUAAAGUGAUAAUGAUAAUAGUUUUGUAUGGUCGACCCUUCAACAUUAUCUUAUCAGUCUUCUCAAUGAUAACAAAAAUGCUCUCUUAUUAUAAUAUCAAUUUGGCUAAAAAAUACUCCAACGAUAGGAUAUAGAGCCUUAACCCUUUAUUAUAAAAAACAUCUAGAAGAUAUCCGAAAAUAUCCUACACGAUGCCGCUGUUAGUGUAAUAAUUUGCUCUCAAUUUUUUCUACUUCAUCAUUUUUUCCCUUUCUAAUCUCUUGCUUUCUAUUGUCUUCUUUUUACAAAA
Molecule: long non-coding RNA, 1908 nt
Filed under: Fragaria vesca (wild strawberry)
Lineage: Eukaryota; Viridiplantae; Streptophyta; Magnoliopsida; Rosales; Rosaceae
Description: long non-coding RNA (FVES_LNC004600)
Source: RNAcentral